This 408-nucleotide ribosomal RNA is filed under the name uncultured bacterium. RNAcentral's name for it is "bacterial SSU rRNA". It matches the Rfam family "Bacterial small subunit ribosomal RNA", at positions 100 to 507 of the family's 1533-position model. The record is from RNAcentral.
CAAGGGUGCGUAAACGCGUAAGUAACUUGCCCCAAGGUAAGGAAUAACGUCGAGAAAUCGGCGCUAAUACCUCAUAAUGCAGCGGAUCCGCAUGGAUAUGUUGUUAAAGGUUUACCGCCUUGGGAUAGGCUUGCGUCUGAUUAGCUAGUUGGUGUGGUAAUGGCACACCAAGGCUACGAUCAGUAACUGGUCUGAGAGGAUGAUCAGUCACACUGGAACUGAGACACGGUCCAGACUCCUACGGGAGGCAGCAGUGAGGAAUAUUGGGCAAUGCACGAAAGUGUGACCCAGCAACGCCGCGUGGAGGAUGAAGGUAUUCUAUAUCGUAAACUCCUGUGAGAGCAGACGAAAGACAGAUUAUUAAUUUGGAUGACUGUAUGCUCAGAGGAAGCCCCGGCUAACUACGUG